GAAGUAAAAAUCGUAACAAGGUCUCCGUUGGUGAACCAGCGGAGGGAUCAUUACCGAGUUUACAACUCCCAAACCCCUGUGAACAUACCAAUUGUUGCCUCGGCGGAUCAGCCCGCUCCCGGUAAAACGGGACGGCCCGCCAGAGGACCCCUAAACUCUGUUUCUAUAUGUAACUUCUGAGUAAAACCAUAAAUAAAUCAAAACUUUCAACAACGGAUCUCUUGGUUCUGGCAUCGAUGAAGAACGCAGCAAAAUGCGAUAAGUAAUGUGAAUUGCAGAAUUCAGUGAAUCAUCGAAUCUUUGAACGCACAUUGCGCCCGCCAGUAUUCUGGCGGGCAUGCCUGUUCGAGCGUCAUUUCAACCCUCAAGCCCCCGGGUUUGGUGUUGGGGAUCGGCGAGCCCUUGCGGCAAGCCGGCCCCGAAAUCUAGUGGCGGUCUCGCUGCAGCUUCCAUUGCGUAGUAGUAAAACCCUCGCAACUGGUACGCGGCGCGGCCAAGCCGUUAAACCCCCAACUUCUGAAUGUUGACCUCGGAUCAGGUAGGAAUACCCGCUGAACUUAAGCAUAUC
RNAcentral lists this ribosomal RNA (568 nucleotides) under Fusarium proliferatum. RNAcentral describes it as "eukaryotic LSU rRNA". The stretch from base 202 to 355 matches the Rfam family "5.8S ribosomal RNA". The record is from RNAcentral. Lineage: Eukaryota; Fungi; Ascomycota; Sordariomycetes; Hypocreales; Nectriaceae.